CACUAUGUCCUGCUUACUUUUCCUCUUCCCAGAUUGCCCCUAAAUUUCUUCAUGUCAUCAGCAAAUCCUCCCCAUGUUAGUAGAACAAUUUGAAACUUGAACUAAUUCUUAAAGCUAAAACACAAAGAAACCCGACCCGAGAACCAAAAGUAGGGAAUCUCUUUCUCACUUCUAGUCAUUUUGCCCUAACCCCAUCCCAAGAAAUUCCCAAUUUCGAACCUAGUUUCAAAUUUGAAAGUGGGCAAACUGUGUCUCCCAAAUAGAAAAACCCUAGUCCUUGUUUUACUACUGCCCUCUCUAAAAUCUCGCUCCCUUCGAUAUCCCUCACGGUAGUAUAGUGUUGUUGUUCAUUUCAAAGCUCUUUCUCUUUCGAAUCCCAGAGGAUUCUCUCAUUCUGUGGUUCGCUCUUUUUUUGCACUGUGAUUCCAGGUCUUCGAUCGAAGCUUUUCGUGGUUUCUGUACACUUUUGAAGGAGAUGGACCACAACAAUUUGCGAGCAACUGGAACGGAGUUUUUAGCAUCUCAUCAUAUACACAAUAUUUCAAUGUGGAUAUAGAUUUUGUCCUAAACAGAUUAAUAAGCUCCUUACAUCCCAUUGGUGGAGAUUUUUUUAGUAAGAUUGAUGCCAGCCCUCAUUUGUGAGUCCUUAAUUCUCUGUUACAAGUAUAUUGAAAGAAAUGGACAAUACUCUUUUUUACAUUCUAUUUGUUUUAUUUAGUUUUGGAAUCAUUGUGUUUAAAGUGACAAGUCCUUACUGCAUAAAAAAUAGAAGAAGAAGAAGAAGAAGAAGAUAGAGAGAGAAUCUCUCACUAUUCUGAACUUUUAAGGCUCACAUGGAAAUGGCUUACAUGCCCCCAACAUCAAAUGGUUGAGAAUUAUGUUCUUAUAUUGGCAUAACAUAUUUUUAUUUUUCUUUGUUAAGGAAAAAAACAUUGUGGUGUUAUUUUGGUUGUUUUA
Molecule: long non-coding RNA, 957 nt
Organism: Vitis vinifera (wine grape)
Lineage: Eukaryota; Viridiplantae; Streptophyta; Magnoliopsida; Vitales; Vitaceae
Exons: 2
Source: RefSeq, a predicted model, not a curated record